Dermacentor albipictus is the source of this 303-nucleotide non-coding RNA. The record is from RefSeq and is a predicted model, not a curated record. Lineage: Eukaryota; Metazoa; Arthropoda; Arachnida; Ixodida; Ixodidae.
CAAGAACUUGGAUUGGAGCUCCUGGCCAGACGGGAGGAGCACGAGUUUUCUGUCCGCAAAGAAGAACUGGCCCUGGCACAGCGUAGGCUGGAGUAUGACGAACGGAAGCUCGCUUUUGAAGAAGAAAAGCACAGAUGUGGCCAAAAAAAUGUCUAUCGCUUUGGAUACCCAUAUUCUUCUCAUUGUGUACGGUAUGAAGUGCAGUGCCGAGCUGAAGAAAGAGAGCAGCUUUUGGAACGGCUGGAAAACCUCGAGAGACGUGUCGAUAAAGAAAAUCGCCCGAACCUGUGAUGAAAGUUUGUU